RNAcentral lists this transfer RNA (83 nucleotides) under Candidatus Uhrbacteria bacterium. RNAcentral describes it as "tRNA-Leu". It matches the Rfam family "tRNA". Rfam says of the family: Transfer RNA (tRNA) molecules are approximately 80 nucleotides in length. Lineage: Bacteria; Candidatus Uhriibacteriota. The record is from RNAcentral.
GCCCGGGUGGCGGAAUGGUAUACGCAACGGACUUAAAAUCCGUAACCCGUAAGGGUAUGAGGGUUCGACUCCCUCCCCGGGCA